Molecule: long non-coding RNA, 1162 nt
Organism: Cavia porcellus (domestic guinea pig)
Lineage: Eukaryota; Metazoa; Chordata; Mammalia; Rodentia; Caviidae
Exons: 2
Source: RefSeq, a predicted model, not a curated record
ACUCAGGAUGCGGUCUAUCUGCCCUGAAAUUGGGGAAGGAUGAGCUUCAAGGCCGGCCUUGGCCUCAUCAAACACACUGACCCUCGUUAACCCUCUGCACAGACUGCAGGGCUCUGGCAUCCUGCAGUCUGCAGCGCCGGCCAGUACUCUUGUACCGCCCCCUGCAACACUUCCAGGUUUGCCCUCGCCAACUCCAACAGAGCCAGCACAGACUUCAGACCACAUGGGCGUCUGCUGUAAUCCAAUAUCUGACCGACUGCUCUGCUUCACUUUCAAGAUCAUCUUCAUCUGUGAAAAAACAACAGCAGAUAAAGAGAAGAGAAGCCUGGCCUACAGAAAAUGCUGCAGUCCCCUGACAGAACAAAAAGGAAGGGAAGCACCACUAGGAACCUUCAUAAACUCUGAGGCAAAGAUAGCUUCCUUUUGCAAAUGGCAUUUCAGGUGGGCUCCACACUCAGCACUGCUGCUCCAGUCCGAACACACCUGCUGCAGGAUGGUCAGAUGAAGAUCCAGACAAUGCCUGACUCAGGGCAGCAUGCAGGACUCUAAUUACUUAUAAGACCUUAUACAAUAUAAGUUAAGUGCUAUGCAAAUAAUUCUUUUCUUCUUGUUUAGGGAAUAAGGACAAGAAAAAUUUCUGCACAUGUUAUUCAGUACAGACACUACUUUUUCCCCAAAAAUUAUCAACCCAAGUCUGGUUAAAUCCGUGGAUUCAGAACCCAAAGUCCAGAGGGCCAACAGUUUUACAUAAGAUGACUGUAAAAUGAAAACCCUUUUGUUGCUAUUAAUAUGAAUACUCAGUCUGCAUAUUAAACACAGAAAACUUACACCAUCCUCAAGGUUUUGAAAUCUAUGAGAAAAGACUAAGCAAAACACUAGAGAACAAUUUUUAAAAUGCAAAUAAAGUGUUAAACUGUGUGUUGCAAAAAAUCCCUGUGGGUAGACAACUAUAUGGGAAGGUUGUCCAAUACAUAACUUGUUCAAUUUGGGUGGGAUACAGCUCAGUGAUAAGAGUUCUUGCCUAACAUGCACAAGGCCCUAGGUUCGAUCCCCAGGGCCACCAAACAAACAAAUAAACAAAUAAAUAUUGUUCAAUCAUCAAAUGAGUUCUAACGCUUUUUUUUUUUUUUUUUUUUUUUUUUUUUUGGUACCAGAGAUCAAA